RNAcentral lists this transfer RNA (63 nucleotides) under Brachionus rubens. RNAcentral describes it as "tRNA-His". Lineage: Eukaryota; Metazoa; Rotifera; Eurotatoria; Ploima; Brachionidae. The record is from RNAcentral.
AAAGAAGUACUUUAGAAGCGAUAGGUGUGCUUUAUUGAGCUACGGUAAAAUUGUCCUUUUUUC